AAAUUGAAGAGUUUGAUCAUGGCUCAGAUUGAACGCUGGCGGCAGGCCUAACACAUGCAAGUCGAACGGUAACAGGAAGCAGCUUGCUGCUUCGCUGACGAGUGGCGGACGGGUGAGUAAUGUCUGGGAAACUGCCUGAUGGAGGGGGAUAACUACUGGAAACGGUAGCUAAUACCGCAUAAUGUCGCAAGACCAAAGAGGGGGACCUUCGGGCCUCUUGCCAUCGGAUGUGCCCAGAUGGGAUUAGCUUGUUGGUGGGGUAACGGCUCACCAAGGCGACGAUCCCUAGCUGGUCUGAGAGGAUGACCAGCCACACUGGAACUGAGACACGGUCCAGACUCCUACGGGAGGCAGCAGUGGGGAAUAUUGCACAAUGGGCGCAAGCCUGAUGCAGCCAUGCCGCGUGUAUGAAGAAGG
RNAcentral lists this ribosomal RNA (417 nucleotides) under Escherichia coli. Its description in RNAcentral is "bacterial SSU rRNA". It matches the Rfam family "Bacterial small subunit ribosomal RNA", at positions 1 to 414 of the family's 1533-position model. Lineage: Bacteria; Pseudomonadati; Pseudomonadota; Gammaproteobacteria; Enterobacterales; Enterobacteriaceae. RNAcentral also lists the same sequence under 1 other name. The record is from RNAcentral.